Molecule: unclassified non-coding RNA, 348 nt
Filed under: soil metagenome
Description: partial contains 5.8S ribosomal RNA, internal transcribed spacer 2, and large subunit ribosomal RNA
Rfam family: 5.8S ribosomal RNA (bases 1-120)
Source: RNAcentral
GAUGAAGAACGUAGCAAGAUGCGAUAAGUAAUGUGAAUUGCAGAAUUCAGUGAAUCAUCGAAUCUUUGAACGCACAUUGCGCCCGCUGGUAUUCCGGCGGGCAUGCCUGUUCGAGCGUCAUUUCAACCCUCAAGCCCCCGGGUUUGGUGUUGGGGAUCGGCUCUGCCCUUCUGGGCGGUGCCGCCCCCGAAAUACAUUGGCGGUCUCGCUGCAGCCUCCAUUGCGUAGUAGCUAACACCUCGCAACUGGAACGCGGCGCGGCCAUGCCGUAAAACCCCAACUUCUGAAUGUUGACCUCGGAUCAGGUAGGAAUACCCGCUGAACUUAAGCAUAUCAAUAAGCGGAGGA